GACGAACGCUGGCGGCGUGCUUAACACAUGCAAGUCGAACGGAAAGGCCCUGCUUGCCGGGUACUCGAGUGGCGAACGGGUGAGUAACACGUGGGUGAUCUGCCCUGCACUUCGGGAUGAGCCUGGGAAGCUGGGUCUAAUACCGGAUAGGAGCCAUUUUUAGUGUGAUGGUUGGAAAGUUUUUUCGGUGUAGGAUGAGCUCGCGGCCUAUCAGCUUGUUGGUGGGGUAAUGGCCUACCAAGGCGGCGACGGGUAGCCGGCCUGAGAGGGUGGACGGCCACAUUGGGACUGAGAUACGGCCCAGACUCCUACGGGAGGCAGCAGUGGGGAAUAUUGCACAAUGGGCGCAAGCCUGAUGCAGCGACGCCGCGUGGGGGAUGACGGCCUUCGGGUUGUAAACUCCUUUCGCUAGGGACGAAGCUUUUUGUGACGGUACCUAGAUAAGAAGCACCGGCUAACUACGUG
This 465-nucleotide ribosomal RNA is filed under the name uncultured bacterium. RNAcentral's name for it is "partial 16S ribosomal RNA". It matches the Rfam family "Bacterial small subunit ribosomal RNA", at positions 28 to 507 of the family's 1533-position model. The record is from RNAcentral.